Molecule: ribosomal RNA, 249 nt
Filed under: uncultured bacterium
Lineage: Bacteria
Description: partial 16S ribosomal RNA
Rfam family: Bacterial small subunit ribosomal RNA
Source: RNAcentral
UGGUCCUACGGGGCGCAGCAGUGGGGAAUAUUGGGCAAUGGGCGCAAGCCUGACCCAGCAACGCCGCGUGAAGGAAGAAGGCUUUCGGGUUGUAAACUUCUUUUAAGAGGGAAGAGCAGAAGACGGUACCUCUUGAAUAAGCCACGGCUAACUACGUGCCAGCAGCCGCGGUAAUACGUAGGUGGCAAGCGUUGUCCGGAUUUACUGGGUGUAAAGGGAGCGCAGGCGGGAAGCCAAGUCAGCUGUGAA